CGCAAACCAGAACAGCAUGGUUCCCCGCUGUGGCGCAAAGCGUCUGGGGAUCAAAUGGGAAUGUGGUGCGGACCGAUCCAAGUCGGGGGUCUCAUGCCACAGCCGCCCCCGCGACUGUAUGUGGAGAGCGCCCGUCACACGCCACUGGAUCACUCCGGGAAGGCGACGACGCGCAUCGACCCACAAGCCAGGAGACCAGCCGUGCACGCGUCCAACCU
This 218-nucleotide non-coding RNA is filed under the name Thalassobium sp. R2A62. The record is from RNAcentral. RNAcentral also lists the same sequence under 1 other name. Lineage: Bacteria; Pseudomonadati; Pseudomonadota; Alphaproteobacteria; Rhodobacterales; Paracoccaceae.